RNAcentral lists this ribosomal RNA (498 nucleotides) under uncultured bacterium. RNAcentral's name for it is "partial 16S ribosomal RNA". It matches the Rfam family "Bacterial small subunit ribosomal RNA", at positions 30 to 523 of the family's 1533-position model. The record is from RNAcentral.
AUUGGACGCUGGCGGCAUGCCUUACACAUGCAAGUCGAGCGGUAACAGGUCUUCGGAUGCUGACGAGUGGCGAACGGGUGAGUAAUACAUCGGAACGUGCCUAGUAGUGGGGGAUAACUACUCGAAAGAGUGGCUAAUACCGCAUGAGAUCCACGGAUGAAAGCAGGGGAUCGCAAGACCUUGUGCUACUAGAGCGGCCGAUGGCAGAUUAGGUAGUUGGUGGGAUAAAAGCUUACCAAGCCGACGAUCUGUAGCUGGUCUGAGAGGACGAUCAGCCACACUGGGACUGAGACACGGCCCAGACUCCUACGGGAGGCAGCAGUGGGGAAUUUUGGACAAUGGGCGAAAGCCUGAUCCAGCAAUGCCGCGUGCAGGAUGAAGGCCUUCGGGUUGUAAACUGCCUUUGUACGGAACGAAAAGCCCCGGGUUAAUACCCUGGGGUCAUGACGGUACCGUAAGAAUAAGCACCGGCUAACUACGUGCCAGCCGCCGCCGUAA